This 253-nucleotide ribosomal RNA is filed under the name uncultured bacterium. RNAcentral describes it as "partial 16S ribosomal RNA". It matches the Rfam family "Bacterial small subunit ribosomal RNA", at positions 524 to 776 of the family's 1533-position model. The record is from RNAcentral.
UACAGAGGUCUCGAGCGUUGUUCGGAUUCACUGGGCGUAAAGGGUGCGUAGGUGGCGCUGUAAGUCGGGUGUGAAAUCCUGAGGCUUAACCUCGGAACUGCAUUCGAUACUGCGGCGCUUGAGGACUGGAGAGGAGACUGGAAUUCAUGGUGUAGCAGUGAAAUGCGUAGAGAUCAUGAGGAAGACCAGUGGCGAAGGCGGGUCUCUGGACAGUUCCUGACACUGAGGCACGAAGGCCAGGGGAGCAAACGGG